GAUGAACGCUGGCUACAGGCUUAACACAUGCAAGUCGAGGGGAAACGACGGGGAAGCUUGCUUCCCCGGGCGUCGACCGGCGCACGGGUGAGUAACGCGUAUCCAACCUGCCUCUGACUGAGGGAUAACCCGUCGAAAGUCGGCCUAAUACCUCAUGGCAUCGUCUGCGGGCAUCCAACGACGAUUAAAGAUUUCAUCGGUCAGGGAUGGGGAUGCGUCUGAUUAGCUUGUUGGCGGGGUAACGGCCCACCAAGGCUACGAUCAGUAGGGGUUCUGAGAGGAAGGUCCCCCACAUUGGAACUGAGACACGGUCCAAACUCCUACGGGAGGCAGCAGUGAGGAAUAUUGGUCAAUGGGCGGGAGCCUGAACCAGCCAAGUAGCGUGCAGGAGGACGGCCCUAUGGGUUGUAAACUGCUUUUAUGCGGGGAUAAAGUGAGGGACGUGUCCUUCAUUGCAGGUACCGCAUGAAUAAGGACCGGCUAAUUCCGUG
RNAcentral lists this ribosomal RNA (491 nucleotides) under uncultured bacterium. RNAcentral describes it as "partial 16S ribosomal RNA". It matches the Rfam family "Bacterial small subunit ribosomal RNA", at positions 28 to 507 of the family's 1533-position model. The record is from RNAcentral.